This 4685-nucleotide long non-coding RNA is filed under the name Sus scrofa (pig). Its description in RNAcentral is "lncRNA (ENSSSCG00055012685.1)". Lineage: Eukaryota; Metazoa; Chordata; Mammalia; Artiodactyla; Suidae. The record is from RNAcentral.
ACAAGGUAGAAUUUUAUUUUCCUCUCACAUAAAAGCCUGACGGUGGGAGUCUGGGACUGGUAUGUUGCCCCAGUCUCCUUCCAGCUUAUUAUUCUGAGGUUCCUAGUGGGUGGCCCUUGUCCUUGUGGUUCAAGGUGUCACCCACCACCUACCAAACAGCAAAAUAGAGGGGAGAACAAAGAAGGGCCAAAAAGAAUAAACACAAGUUUGUCUUAGGGAAGGAUCCUAGAAUCAGCCACAUGACACUACACUUACUUCUCAUUGGCAAGAGCUCAGUCACAUGACCAUACCUAACCACACAGGAGGUUGGGAAAUGUAGUCUUCUUUCUAGGCAGUCAUGCUCCAGCUAAAGCUCUGAUUAGGGAGUAGAAAAUUAUUGGGAACCACUAGUAACUUCUAGCAGAAGCCUCAUGACCUCUCUUGGCAUGGGGACAUUGCUAUCUUACCAUAAGCGUAUUGCUGUAUUAACUGAAACCUCACAUGCAAGUCAUCUAGCACAGAGCCUGGAACAUACUAGGCACAACCCCCCUUCUUCCUCCUCCCCAUUUCCAGGAUUCUGGAGUGCAUACUUUUUUCCUCUCAAAUGUGUCCAUAGCUCCUGCAGCCAAUGUCUGAGCAUUGUCCCAAGCUGAACUCUCAGAGUCAGCCUGCAACUUGCCAGGGCCUUGAGCUGGGCCUCCAAGUAUUAGAGUAAGCCACAGGGACCUGCCUUAUCCUCAUGCCCACCCACUCUGGAGUCUGUGAAAAGAGACUCUCCCUGCUUCUCUUUUUGAUACUGCUAGUAAUUUUGCACAAGAAAACACCUGCCCCAGCCCUCCCUGGAGCCCCAGGUCUGCUUCUUGCCUUGAUACUGGUGGUCGAAGCCCAGGAGAGCUGGGACUUAAUUCAAAGACCUCAAAUGUGCAAAAACCUGUGGAAAAGCUGAGAGAGCUCCACUGAAGAGGGUUUGCUGGGCAGGAACCAACUCCUCACACACAUCAGUUUCAGACUCUUCUAGCAAAAGACUCUGUAAGGCAGAGAGAGUGGCCUUUAACCAGAUAACCCCAGACUCCCAAGUUUAGAGUAUAACCCAAAGCAAUAACCAUGAAUAAAAACUGAAUAAAAACUCCUUUCAGUCUUCUCUUUCUUUUUUAAAAUUUGUUGAAAUUUUACAUUUUAUUACUUUACUUCAAAACAUAUUUCCCUAAAUACUUCUAGUAAAAUUAACACUUCAGCAAGAUAUACCAUGUUUAUCCUUCACCUUCACUUGUCCUUGGCCCAGCAUGCAUGUCCCCGGGAAUCACUGCACCACCCCCUUUCAUUCCCGCACAACCCCAUGCAAUAUGAACUCUUAUACAGAUGGACACAUUUGGAAACCGAGGUUGAGAGAGUAUGCAGAUCGUCUGAGAGUAACUGGUUGACCUGGGAUUCAGAUCCUGGUCCAUCUGGUUCUAAAUCCUUGCCCUGUAAUCAUCAUGUAAGUAAAUAGGGCUUACCCACCACCUAGUGAUGGAAUCUGUUGCCUAGGCGCUUGGGCACACAGGGGAAUUGGCAAGGAGGGGGCACCAUGAAGGAAGCCCCUUUGUAGGUGAGGAGAUGAGUUUGGGGGAUGCAGGCCAUUGACUCCAGGAGUGACCUCCACUAGCAAGAUGCCUGGAAGCUGGAGAGCUGCUUCAACUAAUAGCAUGGGACUGGCUUGGAACUCAUUCUUGGGUCACCCUAACCUCAAGGGCAGAGAGCCAGGACCAGAGAGGAGUGGGGAGAACCCCUUGUCUCUGGUCAAGAAUCCUGAAAGGGGAAAGAUGCUUUGUGACCACAGUCAGUCAUGAGGACUGAUCCCAGCCUGGAGUCCAGGGGUACUCAGAAGAACAGAGGCCAAGGUGGCCCCAACCCAAGAAAAGCAGGACAUGGACCCUGCCUCAAAAAGUGGAGCCCCUAGGAGUUAGUUCCCUUCAUGGCCCAGCUGUUAAUGAAUCUGACUAGGAUCCAUGAGGAAGCAGAUUCAAUACCUGGCCUCGCUCAGUGGGUUAAGGAUCUGGUGUUGCUAUGAGCUAUGGUGUAGGUCGCAGAUGCGGCUUGGAUCCCAUGUUGCUGUGGCUGGUGGCGUAAGCCAGUGACUAUAGCUCUCAUUUGACCCCUAGCCUGGGAACCUCCAUGGGCCGAGAGUGUGGCCCUUAAAGGAAAAAGCAAAAACGAAAAAAGGAGUGGCCCCUACCAGAAGGACACAAAAGUGUCUCUUAGAAUCCUGGCAAUGGUGAGUAUGGAGGAGAGUGACACAGGGGACUCCCUAUGAGGAGGCAAUGAUCUAGGCUUGGCACCCACUCCCUGCCAAAAAAUGCUCAGCUGUAGCAUCAGAAGUGCCCCAGCCACCAUUGUGUAAAUUCAGCGCCGCUCCACGUUUGGGGCGAGAUGUGACUUCUUGGUAGACCCACCUGUCCUGUCUCCCUCAUAAGUAAGAGUUCCCAGUGAGGGUGUUGCAGGUCCCUUCUCCUGGGCCCCUGGUUCCUACACCAGGACCCCCAACCGACUAGGCACUUAUUCCACAGGAUGGAAUGAACUCCCAAAUUCUAAUUCCAAAUUCCAAAUUAUUCUAAUUCCCUGGAAGACAAGGAGAAGGGGGAAGACGUGAAUUGUUCUUAUUGGUCUCUGUACAGGUGAUAGGAUCCAGAGGUGAUAUUUGCUGUCACCAAACCUGAUGUGGGUGCCUAGGCUGAUCAGCAGGGGGAGCCAGGCCUCUGUUUUGGUCCUUGAGCUGCCCUGGCUGGAAGUGGCCUGGCCAGGGGUUGAGAAAAGUUGGCUCUCAGCAGGUGUUGCUCCAGAGAAGGUAAGUCCUAGGCAGCCCAGAAAAAAACAUCUGGUCCCCAGAAGUCUCUAUGGCUGAUUGUUGUUUGUUUCUCACCAUCUGACUUCCCCCGGGCAUGUAUGUUUGGAAGUACUUGAGCGCAGGGAAGCCUGUGAGUGGCAGUCUGGGGGACUGCCUGGGUGCCUCCAGGCUUUGUUCUGAGUGGUGGGAGGGGGCUUCUCUGAUCAUCUCAGGUCCUGGGCCACAAGCAGUGGCCAGGCCAGACAUUUUCUAUGCUUGGAGAAGAUGCUGCUGGUGCUGCAGAUGAGUCCAGAACCACUCACCUCCUUGCUCUGCCCAGAAAGGAGUCAUUCUUGCAGAUCCUGCAAGAGGGAGGAUCCACUUGGGCCGCCUCAGGAGACAGUCCCUGGACGUGGCCCAGCCCCUGACCUCUGAAGCAACCCCCCACCCGCUGCUCUUUCCUGCUCUCCAGGUCAGCGUGGGCCAGGAUGGAGGAAGCCUCCCUUGCUUCUCUGGCCAAAGGAAAGGAGCCAAGGGGUUGCAAAACAGCCCUUAGGUUCUUGGACAAGAAGGCAAAACAAAACAAAACGAAACGCAAAACAAAAAGCUCAGCUAGAUCACUGUCUCACCCAGAGGCAAGUGAUUGCUCAAUUCAGGGCAGCCAGCCUGGCCUCUGUCACCUGCUGAGCCUCAGGAAUGAACCUGCAAGUGGGCAUUUGAUGGGGACAGGGCCUCUCUGGCCUGAGAGGGAGAUGCCAUUCUCCCCUCUGGAAACCACAGGCAAGAACAGCUUGCAGAAUGAUAUUCCACCAAGGAAUCAGGCUGUGUCCAGAAGGGCCUGUGGCCACACAGGGCAGAGAAGGUGAAUUCAAACCGCAAAGUAGACAAAUUGCUAAGUCCCUUCCCACUGCCCCAUCAGCAGCUCUCUUCCGGCUUCCUGACUGCCCAGGGUAGCCCCUUUUAAACACUUACAAAAGGAUCACCAUGAACCCCUCCUUCCAAAGUUAAGAGUACAAAUAAGGAGCUUACAGAGGAGCAUGAAUGCUGGACCAUCUCCACAGAGUGACAAGCCCUGAAGAGCCUCCUACUGGGGAGAGAGGACAGAACCUGCCUCCCAGAGCCUGAAGGAAAAGACACUCACUCGGAGUCAUAAAAAGGCAGAAGAAUUUUCUAGGUAGAUGACAGGAGCAAGGCCCCACCGCACCUCUGAAGGGGCCACUGGCCAGGCAGGCACACACAGUUGCCAAUGAUGCAGCAGAGAAGAUCACAAAGCACUUUAGUUCACCAAGUUAUUUCACCUACCUUUAUUCUGUGAGGUAAAUCGGAAGAUGAAGUUCAGAGAAGUUAAGGAACUUAUCUCAGGACACACAGCAAGUAGCUCUGAUUCCAUGUUCCAAGUCUUAACUUGUUCUUUGGGUAGUCUGUGCCCCACCACCACCCCAAUUCCCAGAGGCGAAACCUUGGAGAAAACAACAGGGCCUGUCUUAGCUUGACAGGUCUACAACUUGAUUUCGUUUUUAGGUCAUUCAGAGUUGCUUAAUAUCUGGAGGCCCAGCUCAUGCCAACCACACAGGAGGUGGAUGGGCAAACAGAAAACUACCGUGUUUGUUUACAGGGAGAGUGGGUUUGUCAUUAAGGCUGGUGUCAGGAAUUUGCUGGAGCCACCAAUUCCCUCCUGGUGAUGUCCGCAAAUGCAGAGCAAGGGUGCGAAGGGAGCCAGCCAUCCUGAAGGACCAGGUGACAGAGACGCUUGACAUCCUGGGAAGAAUCAGGAAAGGUGACUCUGGAGCACCCUGGGUGCAGAUCUCAGCUCUACCCAUCUCUGACAGUGUGACCUUGGCAGGUUACUUAAGCUUCAGCUCGUUCAUCUUCAAGAUGGAGAUAAUCAGAGAACAACCCAGAA